This 273-nucleotide ribosomal RNA is filed under the name uncultured bacterium. Its description in RNAcentral is "partial 16S ribosomal RNA". It matches the Rfam family "Bacterial small subunit ribosomal RNA", at positions 524 to 796 of the family's 1533-position model. The record is from RNAcentral.
UACGGAGGGGGCUAGCGUUAUUCGGAAUUAUUGGGCGUAAAGGGCGCGUAGGCGGCUCGACGUGUCCAAGGUGAAAUCCCUCGGCUCAACUGAGGAACUGCCUUGGAAACUGUCGAGCUUGAGGCCGGGAGGGGGUAGCGGAAUUCCCAGUGUAGCGGUGAAAUGCGUAGAUAUUGGGAGGAACACCAGUGGCGAAGGCGGCUACCUGGACCGGUUCUGACGCUGAUGCGCGAAAGCGUGGGUAGCAAACAGGAUUAGAAACCCCAGUAGUCC